AAUCAACACUUUUCACAACUUAGAAAAGAAUAGAGUCAAUUUAGGCAAAAAAAAUCCUUUUUUUUUUCUUUGCCCUCAAAAUAUUAAGAAAAACCCCCUUUCUUUUAUUUUGGAAAGAAAGAGAAACCUGUAGAGGGCUGGAGCUAUGCCUGCAAUCAAUGUCGGUUUUUUCUUCACAAGGGAUGUGCUGAGUUAGAGUUAGCCCCCAAGAUUCAGCAUCCCUUCCACCCCUUCCACCCUCUCACUCUUCUGCCAAAAUCACCUUAUUCUGGGGGCAUAACCGCGUGCAGUUUGUGUGGUAAGAAUUUUGAGGGAUUUGUUUAUAAUUGUUUUGAUUGUGAGUUCGAUCUGCACAUCACUUGUGCUUUGCUUCAAUCAUCCAUUGCUGCAAAUUUUCCUAAUUCUUUGCACCCCCAUCCUUUACACUUCAUUCAAAAUCAUAGCAAGGAAGUCGAGCCUGAUUGCCCGCGGUGUCGGAAACCAAUAUCUGGUCCAUUUUACCACUGUUCAGAUUGCACUUAUCAUAAAUUGUUUAACCUUCAUAAGGAGUGUGCUGAACUACCCCUUGAGAUUAAUCACCCCUGUGACCGUAAGCAUCCUCUUACUCUCUUGUCACAACCGCCUACUCAUCCCAAGAAAUGUAGUUGCUCUUUGUGCAGAAUCCAAUGGAAGAGGUUGAUUAACUGCUGACUAACGAAGAACAAACCAGGAAUCAACAACUCUAGUGUGAAUCAGGGAAGCAAGCAGGCGUGGGAAGCUAUCAGCUCUGGUAAACUUAAAUCCCACCGCCUCUUCUAUAGGCGCCAACAUAUGAAUAACUAUUCCUAAAACGAGGUCAGCCAUGCCAAUUCCAUUGAAAAGAGGCCUAAGCUAAGCUACCAAGCAAAGAGGAAGAAGAAGAGAUGGUUUCAGGGUGAGGCAUGUGCUCCAAAAGGGUAGCGGUGGAUGCAAGGCAUCGCAUGCUAGGAAGGUUGGCUUCCAUAUUGGCCAAGGAGUUGUUGAAUGGCCAAAAAGUAGUGGUGGUGAGAUGUGAAGAGAUAUGCAUGUGGGGUGGAUUGGUUAGCCAGAAGAUGAAUCUCAUGAGGUUUCUUAGGAAGCGAUGAUUCCUCGCAAAGACUAAGCACGGAGUGGCAGCUUUUGUUGGUUUGAAAUUGAAGGCUUAUGAGGGGAUUCCUGCACCAUAUGAUAAGACUAAGAGAAUGGUUAUCGAACAUGCUGAAUGCUUAGGACUUGGUUUGGAGCUUUAGGAGCUACUGAUGAAUAAGUUUAUGAAGACAUCAAAAGAGUUAUUUCAUUGGUUUGACAGUUCUAGGACUUGGUUGUCCUUUACUCAGAGCCAGAGCAGUAUAGGGAGUAGGGUCGAUCCCUCAGAGACUGGUUUACUGUAAAUUGUUGCUCUCUUGACCAGAUUUAUGUCGGGACAGCUGUCGUGCCCAAGAAAUUCGGGGGGAUAAAAUUUGAAGAACUGAAAUAAACAGAAAAAUAACGUAAAAAGUAAAAGUUUAAAACAGAAUAAUAAAAACAGUUAAAUAAAUAUGAAGAAAAUUUAAUUAGAAUAAGCUUAGCUUUAGUCACGAAUUUUCUUCAUCUUUGAACCGAUCCUCGAAAUUAGAUGAACUCCUCUUUUCCAAUAAGCUAGUUAUAGCUACCAAGGACGCCUCGGACACCAACUCUUCCUUGUGUAAAUUAGUUAUGGAACGUCCAAUAACUAACCCUUACCGAUCGAACAACCACGAAACGUUCGUGAUUUAGAACUCCGGCAGCUUUGCGUUCUAGAAGAGCCGAGCUCGAACCAAUGCCCUCAACCGCGUGGGACAUUUAAAUCCGGUUACUACUUCCCUUGACGGAACCAAAUAGCAAUCUCCACUUGGCACGCCAAUGUGUUCACAGAAAACCGAUUAGAAACGUUCGUUUCGGAAUUCUAACUGUACGUCCAAUCACACUAAAUCAAACGAUGUCUUUUUUUACUUAGUGUUGAUCUGACUUUGUGAGCUGACAAAAUCAUACUCUUAAUCCGGAGAAGUAAUAAGUACUGAAAUUUUAGGAGUUAAAUGGCUCGGGUUCGUAACUCACGGGUUUUGAAGAGGCUAAUUUCGGCCUAAAGCUGAAAAUGGGUUUAGUUGGCUAAGGUUUGGGGCAUGUUGGUAUUGGAAUAAUUAAAUAAGAUUGAAUAAAUGAAAAAAAAACAAAAAAAAAUGAAAGUGAGUGGUGAAGGUGACGCAAGGUUGGAUAUUAAUUGCUGACAAAAAAAGGAAAGAAAAGAUUGAAUUGCAAGAGAUAAAAGCUUAAUUUAAAAACGAAAUGAUUAAAAACUUGAUGGAAAAUUUUAGGAAAAGACUUGAUGAAAAACUUUAAAAAGAACUUGCUGCAAAACUUGAUAAAAAACUUGGUAAUUUAAAACUUGAUAAAAGAACUAGAUGAAAAAUACUUGAAGAAAGAAAAAACACUUAAUGAAAGACUUAAUUGAAAGCUUGAUUUAUGAAUUGAUUGAUCGAUGAACAAUGUAGCCUCUAUUUAUACUAGUGGCUUUACUAAAUUAUGAGCCAACUAGUCAUAGAAAAUUAAGGAAAAUAUUCCAUAAUAUAAAAAAUAUCCCAAAAUAAUCUCCCACUAAGUCAACAAUUUCAGCUAAUUAUUCUUGAAAAAAUUCUGCUUUGGCCCUCCUUCUUUGCUUCUUUCUUCAAUCUAGCCCAAUUUGUUUCCUUUUUCUUCUAUUCAGCCCCAAAUUGCAUUCCUGCACAAAAUUCAAUAGAUAUGGCAAAAUUAGUGGUGCAUUCUCAUAAAUUAACCAAUUUGAUUACAUAAAAUAUGUAACUUUAGCAUUUAAUCACACCUUUUCCCCUCUCUUUUUGUAACUGUAUUGUAGCUUUGGGUCAGUGGUUGGGCUAUGAAUUUAUGAAUAUCAAACUGCUGUGUCUGGUCAACAUUGCAGACUCCUCGAAUUGUCUCCUUACCGUCUGAGUUUUACAACCAACCAAGACAACACCGAACCAAACCUUCCGCAUACCGAAGAAAAACAUUCCUUGCAAUAAAAUUAAAACUGAUACGAAAACCACAACAUCCAUAGGGAAGCAUCAAAACACCUAAAAAAGAUAACCACAAUGACACUUGCGUACACCACAGCUCAUGACACAAAUCGAAAAAGAGAUCAACUUCAAGACAUCAUCUCAUGUUAUCAAUUUGUGAGCAUCUCUUAGAAACUAAAUAAACACCAUAAAAGAAGCAUCCAACAAAUUGGCAGCAAUGCAGUAACAGCAAACCUAUUGCCUCCGUGAGUCUUUAAUUACAACCCCAAAUAUCAUAUACCAAAACAAGGAGCAACAUCAAAACCUUCAUAAUUAAACACUCUUGAAAAGUUGCCUACACACCCUCUUUACUGAUCCUUAGGUUAAAACAUGUUCUUAUCACCCCUAAACACCACCAGUCAAAAUCAUAUCUUACUCGAGUUGAAAAAAAACCUCCUAGUUGAAGAGAAGACAAUUGAAAACAUCAUUAACCCACCAACCCUUAUCCAACAUCGAUCAAGAGGACACUGAACAUGAUUCCAUAAUAAGCUUGUUAAAAUCCCUCAAGAAAGGAAAGCUGGAUCAGCAGCAUUCAACAGUGUUCCUCAUCAGUUAUGGCCGUCGAUGAUGAACCUCAGCCCCCUCAGCCUUUUGAGUUCGCUUGGAUUUCGUUUCGAUGAUAGUUUUUAAAGACGACUUGUGUUUCGUCACAUUCUUUAGUUCAAGAGUUCUCUACUAAUCAGUUACAUUCUUUCUAAUGUUCUUUCUAUUUGUACGGACAAUCUUGUCAUAUACAUGCUCAACCGUUAGGGAAUUCGAUUUUGUUGCCCAAUUUCUUUUUGUUGAUGCUUUGCUCUCAAUUCUUUUCACAUUAUUUCAAAUCAUAUAUAUAGGUUACAACUGCGUGGCAUAGCUUUUAAAUCAUUAUGUCACGAUAAUAAUAUUUCACAUGUUGAUUAUUUUG
Gossypium raimondii (Peruvian cotton) is the source of this 3969-nucleotide long non-coding RNA. RefSeq lists it as uncharacterized. Lineage: Eukaryota; Viridiplantae; Streptophyta; Magnoliopsida; Malvales; Malvaceae. The transcript has 6 exons. The record is from RefSeq and is a predicted model, not a curated record.